GGUGGUAUGGAUCAGGAGGUAGGGCAGGCGGGCUAAGAAUCAGAAGGUUCCUGGUUCAAUCCCUGGCUCCUCCA
This is a non-coding RNA of Gymnothorax javanicus (giant moray), 74 nucleotides long. The record is from the annotation of a GenBank genome assembly. NCBI's taxonomy places the organism in Eukaryota, Metazoa, Chordata, Actinopteri, Anguilliformes, Muraenidae.